GUCAGAAUGAUCUCUUGGUGUUUGUUUCGGCUGUAUGAAUUGCAUGCUUUAUGUUCCUUUCCAUUUGCUUUUGCUAGCGAAAUCAUCCGUGUUUAAUUUUCUCCUUAGCUGCAAUGCCUGUAAGGGCGCAGGUCUUUAUCCCCGUGGUGUGCUUGAAUUGAGCUGUGUGAUUGCAUCAUGUCAUUAUAGAUUGUGUACACAAGUAUGUCUGAGGCGUAAAGUCGAGC
Molecule: unclassified non-coding RNA, 227 nt
Filed under: Hevea brasiliensis (rubber tree)
Lineage: Eukaryota; Viridiplantae; Streptophyta; Magnoliopsida; Malpighiales; Euphorbiaceae
Source: RNAcentral